UACGUAGGGUGCGAGCGUUGUCCGGAAUUAUUGGGCGUAAAGAGCUCGUAGGCGGUCUGUCGCGUCGGUCGUGAAAACUUGGGGCUUAACCCUGAGCUUGCGGUCGAUACGGGCAUGACUGGAGUUCGGCAGGGGAGACUGGAAUUCCUGGUGCAGCGGUGAAAUGCGCAGAUAUCAGGAGGAACACCGGUGGCGAAGGCGGGUCUCUGGGCCGAUACUGACGCUGAGGAGCGAAAGCGUGGGGAGCGAACAGG
Molecule: ribosomal RNA, 254 nt
Filed under: uncultured bacterium
Lineage: Bacteria
Description: partial 16S ribosomal RNA
Rfam family: Bacterial small subunit ribosomal RNA
Source: RNAcentral